UCGACUUAGUUCACACUUCACACCAAGUUUAUUCAAAGUCACUAACUUAUAGUCUAAAGAUGGAUAUACACAAAUGAGUCAAAGAGAAUGUCGGAUGCUAAGGAGCAUUCUUCACCUAAAUUCUAUGCUCUAGAUGCUAAUUUAAUUUAUGUGAAAUUUAACUCGGGUGCGAUCCCAUGAACGGGCGAAUGGUUUUGGUUUUUUUUCUAUAUAACUACACAUUUUGUAACGAUUAUAUAAAUGUUAGAGUUAACAACCAUCAAAGAGUCUGGGUGGUGUAGUUGGUUAUCACGUUAGUCUCACACACUAAAGGUCCCCGGUUCGAACCCGGGCUCAGACACUUUUUAAAUCUUUUUUUUCUUGCUGGAAAUAGAAAUAAUAAAAGCUGGAAAUAGAAAUAAUCAAAUAAAUUUGAUAUUAGCUUUAUAAAUUGUCAUGAUAUGUAUGUAUAUAAAGCAACUAUUUCAAACCAAAAAAAUAGUAAAUUACCACAAGAUAAUUUAGAACAUAAAUCUCAUGCGCAUGCCUUAUUUUUCUGAAAUCCAUGCGGACAUCAAAUUGAUUCAUGCGGCUAUGCGCUAAUUCUGUUUAUUUUUCUAAGCUUUCUGUUAAUUAUGAAAUGACAACAAUACCCAUUCGUCUUAGCUUUUUGUUUCUUUCCGGUUAUAUUCAUCUCUUUGGUGAGCUAGAGAGAGAAAAUGAUUGAUAAAGACGGAUAGAAAGAGAGAGAGAGAGAGAUCAAAUAGAUCGAGAUUGUGUUCUUGAUUCAAGGCGGAUAGAUAGAAAGAGAGAGAGAGAGAGAUCCUCACUCCAAUCUGUACUUAGAUCUGUAGUUGCAAUCAUUUGAGUCAGUACAAUUGUGAAUGCUACGUACUACCAGUUAGUACAAUUGUAAAUGCUACUGACCCGUCCAAGUGUAUGCCCGGUCCGACGGCACGCCCUCGGGGCGUCGUCGUCGGACGGGCUUGAAGAAGUGAGUCCAGUCCGAGUGAAGGUCGCGUGGUGGCUGCGGAGCUGUCCAGAUCGCCUGCGGGUCAACGAUGGUUGGUUGGCAACCAGGCGGGGAUGGGAUUUCGAUGGGGAGUUCUCGGGCCGGCGGGGCGGGGCAGGGCUGGUUCUCUGGUUGUCAAAGCGGCGACGCGAGUCCCAAACGGUGCCGGCCGGAGUGCAAGCACAGAUCAGGUUGGGCGUGUUGCGUGGGGAAGAUCUGGGUUCGAGAGAUCGAUUACCGGUCUGCUCUAUCCUAGGUUGGAGCGUGGGCGGUCUGCUUUCUCUCGGGGCACAGUAGAUGGAGGGGGAGAUGCCGCCGGUGAUGGGAAGGUAGGAGAGUUGCUGGCGAGAUGGUGGUGGCAUGGCUGCAGCGGGCUUUCAAUCAGACUUGGGCUCGGUGAUGAUUGGGUCUGGGCUUUGGCUCAUGGCCCAUGGUGUUUUAAUCUUUUAUUUAAGUGUUAUUGCUUUUUAUGUUUCAUUAGCUAUGGCUUUAUGCCGGCAAUAAAUUCCUAUCUCUUGUUGAUAGGGAAAAGUGGGCUUGGUUCCGGUAUGCACACUCAGUGUGCCUGGUCGGCCCUAGCGAGGAAGCGAGCUAUUUGCUUGAUCAAAUGGAAGCAACCUCCUAGUGGCAGGAUGAAAUUAAGUGUCGCUGGAUUUAUUUCUGUGCGGCAACAUAGUGGGAAAGCUGUGCUAUUUGUAAUGAUGCUUCUUCGUUAUAGAGUUAUCUUUCCGGUAUGUCACCGCUAUGUCAAAGCAAAUGGAGUAGUCAUUUGUGCACUCUUUGCUAAUUGGUGCUUGUUAGAAUACAUAGAUUUUAUUAAGAGUCCUGGUAUUAUUUCAGGAUGUUCUCUCUAUGCUUAUUGUAAUAUGGGGUUUAGGCUCUACGUCCCCCCCUUGUAUUCUGCAAUUUCAUUAAUCAAGACUUAAGGGCAGCCGCACCAGCCCAUUUU
Long non-coding RNA from Rosa rugosa (rugosa rose), 1940 nucleotides. RefSeq lists it as uncharacterized. The transcript has 2 exons. Lineage: Eukaryota; Viridiplantae; Streptophyta; Magnoliopsida; Rosales; Rosaceae. The record is from RefSeq and is a predicted model, not a curated record.